RNAcentral lists this transfer RNA (72 nucleotides) under Urocitellus parryii (Arctic ground squirrel). Its description in RNAcentral is "Spermophilus parryii (Arctic ground squirrel) tRNA". It matches the Rfam family "tRNA". From Rfam's summary of the family: Transfer RNA (tRNA) molecules are approximately 80 nucleotides in length. Their secondary structure includes four short double-helical elements and three loops (D, anti-codon, and T loops). Lineage: Eukaryota; Metazoa; Chordata; Mammalia; Rodentia; Sciuridae. The record is from Rfam by way of RNAcentral. RNAcentral also lists the same sequence under 2 other names.
UGCCGUGUGGCUCAGUGGUAGAGCACUUGCCUAACACGGGUGAGGCUCUGGGCGUGAUCCCCAGCACUGCAA